RNAcentral lists this unclassified non-coding RNA (283 nucleotides) under Hevea brasiliensis (rubber tree). Lineage: Eukaryota; Viridiplantae; Streptophyta; Magnoliopsida; Malpighiales; Euphorbiaceae. The record is from RNAcentral.
GAGAAAUUAGGGUUCCGAAUUUCUGUGGAAUACCGGAUAAACCCCUGGUCUUACCCCAAAAAGAAAUUCAAAUCCUUGCACCAAAAAGGGGAGGCCACCUUUUCUAGGGGAUUUUAACUAAUUCACAAAGAGGAAAAAGGAAAUUGAUGCCUCAGAUCAAUUUGUUCGUCCUCUGGACCUUGCGUGGCUCAAUCUCACGACACCAGGGCGGAAACGCGUGCCCCCGCCUGCUGCUUUUUGUUGCUAGUCGUACACCAUGAGAGGGGUGACGAGGAAGAGGACA